GUUGGGGUAGUGUGGUGCUAAGGGGUGUUUGACUCCCAGUCAAAAGGUUCUGGGUUCAAUCAGGCAUCCUUGAGCAAGGCGACCCCUGACCUCGACC
Merluccius polli (Benguela hake) is the source of this 97-nucleotide non-coding RNA. The record is from the annotation of a GenBank genome assembly. NCBI's taxonomy places the organism in Eukaryota, Metazoa, Chordata, Actinopteri, Gadiformes, Merlucciidae.